This 477-nucleotide ribosomal RNA is filed under the name uncultured bacterium. RNAcentral's name for it is "bacterial SSU rRNA". It matches the Rfam family "Bacterial small subunit ribosomal RNA", at positions 26 to 518 of the family's 1533-position model. The record is from RNAcentral.
AGGAUGAACGCUGGCGGCGUGCUUAACACAUGCAAGUCGAGCGGAGGUUGUACUUCGGUACAACCUUAGCGGCGGACGGGUGAGUAACGCGUGGGUGACCUGCCUUAUACAGGGGGAUAACAGUGAGAAUCACUGCUAAUACCGCAUAAGACCACAGUGCUGCAUGGCACAGAGGUAAAGGAGCAAUCCAGUAUAAGAUGGACCCGCGUCUGAUUAGCUAGUUGGAGAGGUAACGGCUCACCAAGGCGACGAUCAGUAGCCGACCUGAGAGGGUGAUCGGCCACAUUGGGACUGAGACACGGCCCAAACUCCUACGGGAGGCAGCAGUGGGGAAUAUUGCACAAAAUGGGGGAAACCCUGAUGCAGCAACGCCGCGUGAAGGAAGACGGUUUUCGGAUUGUAAACUUCUAUCGACGGGGAAGAAAAAAUGACAGUACCCGAGUAAGAAGCCCCGGCUAACUACGUGCCAGCCGCAGC